RNAcentral lists this ribosomal RNA (468 nucleotides) under uncultured bacterium. RNAcentral describes it as "partial 16S ribosomal RNA". It matches the Rfam family "Bacterial small subunit ribosomal RNA", at positions 28 to 507 of the family's 1533-position model. The record is from RNAcentral.
GACGAACGCUGGCGGCGUGCUUAACACAUGCAAGUCGAACGGAAAGGCCCUGCUUUUGUGGGGUGCUCGAGUGGCGAACGGGUGAGUAACACGUGAGUAACCUGCCCUUGACUUUGGGAUAACUUCAGGAAACUGGGGCUAAUACCGGAUAGGAGCUCCUGCUGCAUGGUGGGGGUUGGAAAGUUUCGGCGGUUGGGGAUGGACUCGCGGCUUAUCAGCUUGUUGGUGGGGUAGUGGCUUACCAAGGCUUUGACGGGUAGCCGGCCUGAGAGGGUGACCGGCCACAUUGGGACUGAGAGACGGCCCAGACUCCUACGGGAGGCAGCAGUGGGGAAUAUUGCACAAUGGGCGGAAGCCUGAUGCAGCAACGCCGCGUGCGGGAUGACGGCCUGCGGGUUGUAAACCGCUUUCGCCUGUGACGAAGCGUGAGUGACGGUAAUGGGUAAAGAAGCACCGGCUAACUACGUG